Molecule: ribosomal RNA, 253 nt
Filed under: uncultured bacterium
Lineage: Bacteria
Description: partial 16S ribosomal RNA
Rfam family: Bacterial small subunit ribosomal RNA
Source: RNAcentral
UACGAAGGGUGCAAACGUUGCUCGGAAUUAUUGGGCGUAAAGCGCACGUAGGCGGCUCCAAAAGUCGGAUGUGAAAUCCCUCGGCUCAACCAAGGAAGUGCACCCGAAACUGCGGAGCUUGAGUAUGGAAGAGGGUCGCGGAAUUCCCGGUGUAGAGGUGAAAUUCGUAGAUAUCGGGAGGAACACCAGUGGCGAAGGCGGCGACCUGGGCCAAUACUGACGCUGAGGCACGAAAGCGUGGGGAGCAAACAGG